This 332-nucleotide unclassified non-coding RNA is filed under the name soil metagenome. RNAcentral's name for it is "partial contains 5.8S ribosomal RNA, internal transcribed spacer 2, and large subunit ribosomal RNA". The stretch from base 1 to 120 matches the Rfam family "5.8S ribosomal RNA", at positions 35 to 154 of the family's 154-position model. The record is from RNAcentral.
GAUGAAGAACGUAGCGAAAUGCGAUAAGUAGUGUGAAUUGCAGAAUUCAGUGAAUCAUCGAAUCUUUGAACGCACAUUGCGCCCUUUGGUAUUCCUUAGGGCAUGCCUGUUCGAGCGUCAUUUAAACCUUCAAGCUAAGCUCGGUGUUGGGUGACUGUCCGCUUCACGGCGGACUCGCCUCAAAAUUAUUGGCGGCCGGUACAUUGGCUUCGAGCGCAGCAGAAACGCGAACUCGGGCCCGUCGUAUUGGCUCCCAGAAGCUAUCUUCACAAUUUUGACCUCGGAUCAGGUAGGGAUACCCGCUGAACUUAAGCAUAUCAAUAAGCGGAGGA